RNAcentral lists this unclassified non-coding RNA (249 nucleotides) under Hevea brasiliensis (rubber tree). Lineage: Eukaryota; Viridiplantae; Streptophyta; Magnoliopsida; Malpighiales; Euphorbiaceae. The record is from RNAcentral.
CAAAAUGCAAGAACUGCUCUUGGUUCCUCAGUACUACAUACUAUUCAGUACUGAUCAGUUGAACCAUAUUCAACCACAUUAGCAGGAAGAAAGUCCUACUUAUGUAAGGGAACAUGGAAAAGAUGAAAUACUGCUAAAAGGAAAUGCUCUUUUUAUCACUAGUAUGCUUAAUGAACAAAAGAGAGGAUUAUAUCAUUUUUACAUUUUCCUUUCCUAGUUUAUUCCAGUGGUGCAAUUUUUUUACUGUUG